UCCUACGGGAGGCAGCAGUGAGGAAUAUUGGUCAAUGGGCGGGAGCCUGAACCAGCCAAGCCGCGUGAGGGAAGAAGGUACAGCGUAUCGUAAACCUCUUUUGUCAGGGAACAAAGGCGGGGACUAGUCCCCGGAUGAGGGUACCUGAAGAAAAAGCAUCGGCUAACUCCGUGCCAGCAGCCGCGGUAAUACGGAGGAUGCGAGCGUUAUCCGGAUUUAUUGGGUUUAAAGGGUGCGCAGGCGGCCUGUUAAGUCAGCGGUAAAAGCCCGGGGCUCAACCCCGGCGACCCGUUGAAACUGGCGGG
Molecule: ribosomal RNA, 305 nt
Filed under: uncultured bacterium
Lineage: Bacteria
Description: bacterial SSU rRNA
Rfam family: Bacterial small subunit ribosomal RNA
Source: RNAcentral